This 72-nucleotide transfer RNA is filed under the name Trichonephila clavipes. It matches the Rfam family "tRNA". From Rfam's summary of the family: Transfer RNA (tRNA) molecules are approximately 80 nucleotides in length. Their secondary structure includes four short double-helical elements and three loops (D, anti-codon, and T loops). Lineage: Eukaryota; Metazoa; Arthropoda; Arachnida; Araneae; Nephilidae. The record is from Rfam by way of RNAcentral.
GCGUCGGUGGUAUAACGAUUAGCAUAGCUGCCUUCCAAGCAGUUGACCCGGGUUCGACUCCCGGCCGACGCA